This is a non-coding RNA of Vicugna pacos (alpaca), 1131 nucleotides long. NCBI's taxonomy places the organism in Eukaryota, Metazoa, Chordata, Mammalia, Artiodactyla, Camelidae. The record is from RefSeq and is a predicted model, not a curated record.
AAACCAUCAACCGGCCCCCCUCCCCCCAACAUGGUAACCGGCUCGGAUCUGGGCAGCCAGGGCGCACAGUGUGGGGCCCAAAAUACGCUGGAACUGGCGAGCUUGGGACCGCUGCUGGGCUUGGAAGUAUCCUUAUAAGAGAGUGGCAGAGGGAGCUUUUACUAUCAACGUGAGGACUGAAGCAAGAUGCUACACUCCUGGCUUUCAAGAUGAAGGAAGGUGCCACCAAAGAUGCAGCUCUAGAUGCUAGAAAAGAUGAGGAAAUAGAUUCUUCCCUCGAGCCUUGAGAGGGAGCAUGGCAUUACGGACAUCUUGAUUUUGGCCCAGUGAAACUGAUUUCAGAUUUCUGUCCUUCAGAACAGAAGGCCCUGUAACUAACAAAGAUAAAACAGCUGGCCUUCCCACUUCCUGGAAGAUAGCCAUCAUGUAAAGAGUGAGACCACACUAUCCUGAGACCAUCAUGCUGUGAAAGACUCAAGUCAUAUGGAAAGACUCUGGAGGAUGAGAUAUACUGAGAAGAGAAAGAGAGGCCAAGGAGCACCAAAAUGCCAAGACAUGUGACUAAAGGAGCCAUCCUGGAUAUCUAGUCAAGACUUCCGAUGACUCGUUCCAGCUGUUACUGACUGCAGUCACAUAGGAGACCCCACGUGAAAACCACCUAUCUGAGCCCAGUCAACUCACAGAACCUUAAAAGAUAAUGAUAAAUUGCUAUUUUAAGCUCUAUAUUUAAUGAUAAUUUGUAAUGUAGCAAUAGUUAUUGAGAACACGGUCAAUAUGCUUAAAUGUCCCGUGCCUAUUUAAAAGGAAUUAACAACUGUAACUUGAGGGUGCAAUGUUUUAUAUGUGUCAAUUAAGCCAAGUUCAUUAGUUUGUAUAUUCAAACCUAUAUUCUUAAUAAUUUGGUUUGCUGUCUAUAACUUACAGAAGUAUUUUGAAAAUUUCUCAAUAUGAUCCUGUAUUUGUUCAUUUCUCUUGUAAAUUUUUGCUUUAUUUGAGGCUAAGUUGUUAGGUGAGAACAAAUUUAAAGUUUAUAUCUCCCUGAUGAACACAAUCUUUUAUCAUAGCUAGGUAUUCCUUAUUUCUAGUAAUGUUUUGCCUUAAAGUUUACUUUGUCUGAUAUUAAUAAAGCUA